GGUAUUAGGUCGUUGGUGAGGUAACGGCUCACCAAGCCUACGAUGCCUACCGGGUGUGAGAGCAUGACCCGGCGACACUGGAACUGAGACACUGUCCAGACACCUACGGGUGGCUGCAGUCGAGAAUCUUCGGCAAUGGGCGAAAGCCUGACCGAGCGACGCCGCGUGAGGGAAGAAGGCCUUCGGGUUGUAAACCUCUUUCGUAGAGGAGGAAGGGGCCGUGCAGAGCGGUCUUUGACCUAUUCUAGGAAGAAGCUUGGGCUAAGUUCGUGCCAGCAGCCGCGGUAAGACGAACCAAGCGAACGUUAUUCGGAAUUACUGGGCUUAAAGCGCGUGUAGGCGGAUGACCACGUCAGUCGUUGAAAUCCCCCGGCUCAACCGGGGAACAGGCGCUGAUACGAGUUGUCUGGAGGUGGGUAGGGGAGACUGGAACUUCCGGUGGA
Molecule: ribosomal RNA, 443 nt
Filed under: uncultured bacterium
Lineage: Bacteria
Description: bacterial SSU rRNA
Rfam family: Bacterial small subunit ribosomal RNA
Source: RNAcentral